RNAcentral lists this ribosomal RNA (470 nucleotides) under uncultured bacterium. RNAcentral's name for it is "SSU rRNA". It matches the Rfam family "Bacterial small subunit ribosomal RNA", at positions 26 to 518 of the family's 1533-position model. The record is from RNAcentral.
AGGAUAAACGCUGGCGGCGUGCCUAACACAUGCAAGUCGAACGUCUCUUUCUUCGGGAAGAGGAGUGGCGGACGGGUGAGGAACACGUGGGAACCUGCCCUUCAGUGAGGAAUACCGGCGAGAAAUCGCCGACAAGACCGCAUAGCCCUCUCUGGUGAGAGCCAGAGAAGGAAAGCCUCGCAAGAGGCGCUGGAGGAGGGGCCUGCGUCCGAUUAGCUAGUUGGUGGGGUAAGAGCCUACCAAGGCGUCGAUCGGUAGCUGGUCUGAGAGGACGAUCAGCCACACUGGGAUUGAGAACGGCCCAGACUCCUACGGGGGCAGCAGUGAGGAAUUUUCGGCAAUGGGGGAAACCCUGACCGAGCAACGCCGCGUGCAGGAAGACGGCCUUCGGGUUGUAAACUGCUUUUCUUUGGGACGAGCAAGGACGGUACCAGAGGAAUCAGCCCGGCUCACUACGUGCCAGCAGCCGC